This is a long non-coding RNA of Cephus cinctus (wheat stem sawfly), 1008 nucleotides long. RefSeq lists it as uncharacterized. The record is from RefSeq and is a predicted model, not a curated record. NCBI's taxonomy places the organism in Eukaryota, Metazoa, Arthropoda, Insecta, Hymenoptera, Cephidae. The transcript has 2 exons.
GCUGACAGUAGUAAAUUGUAUAUAACCAAGUUUACUUUCCUCGUGAGUUCUAAUGGGUUGAAAUCAGGUAUCAGAGUUUAGUGCCAUCCUUGGCAACGUCUGUUUUUGUUGCUGCAGUAGAUUAGAUUGGAUAAAGUUGUAUUAAAUUAAUGAAAGAAGAAUAUACGAAGGGCAAGACAGUGCAGCAAGGAUGGACCGAUGAUUAUAUCCAAGUGGAAUUGAAGCAAUCUGCAUGUGCAAAUCCAGAAAUACAUUUCCAUCCACAUCAGCCAAAUAGUUUCCAAUAGACCUCUGAUAGUCAGCAAAGUACUGUACACUUCCAGCUUGCUAAAAUUGAGCAGUACAAUUCCAAAAUGGAGAAAGCAACAGUUGUAGGCAAAACAAAUCUCUAAAGAUUGCGUAUAAUUAAGUAAAAUUAAACCUGCAUCUUGCUCAAUUCUUCAAGAAGAGCUUUAGAUCUCGGUCCUGGAAUUUCUGUUAGCGUAAAAGGUUUGGCUGGCUCUCCAGGCAAUGGACUUUUGCUCGCACUGCAUACUUCCGAGAAUGAAUUUUUUGCAUAGUACAAUAUAAGUGGCCUCGCGCGAACAAGCCUUACAUUCUUCCAAAACAUCGUUAACAACAUCCCUCAUAAAAUGCCUCCAAAAGAAAAUAUAAAUUAUACAAGAAAUAGUACAUACAAAUAUGCAAGGGGCUUUACUAGUGACACAUGUCUACAGUUUCUCUUGUUUUCACUACAUUCAUUUUUUUUCUCUGAAAACAAUGGAAUUCAAAAUUACACUUUCUUCCUCACACACUCUACAGGGGUGAUGAUCCCGACUAAGGCUUUUUGCACUCACUUAAUCGCAAAUAAAAUAAAAAGGGGCAAAUUAACACAUCAGACACAUACUUCUUACUAAUUUAUAUUGUAGUGCAAUAAAAACAACAAAGUUUAUGAUUAAAAUUAGUACAAAUAUAUUUAUUAUAAACUAUGUAAUAUUAGGUUCGGAUGAAUAUAGUUAGGUAAUCACA